UACGUAGGGUGCAAGCGUUGUCCGGAAUUAUUGGGCGUAAAGAGCUUGUAGGCGGUUUGUCGCGUCUGCUGUGAAAUUUCGGGGCUCAACCCCGAACUUGCAGUGGGUACGGGCAGACUAGAGUGUGGUAGGGGAGACUGGAAUUCCUGGUGUAGCGGUGAAAUGCGCAGAUAUCAGGAGGAACACCGAUGGCGAAGGCAGGUCUCUGGGACGAUACUGACGCUGAGAAGCGAAAGCAUGGGGAGCGAACAGG
Molecule: ribosomal RNA, 253 nt
Filed under: uncultured bacterium
Lineage: Bacteria
Description: partial 16S ribosomal RNA
Rfam family: Bacterial small subunit ribosomal RNA
Source: RNAcentral